Molecule: long non-coding RNA, 813 nt
Filed under: Monodelphis domestica (gray short-tailed opossum)
Lineage: Eukaryota; Metazoa; Chordata; Mammalia; Didelphimorphia; Didelphidae
Description: lncRNA (ENSMODG00000037215.1)
Source: RNAcentral
CUUUAUUCUGUGUCUCUGUGUGUUGUGUGUUCUGUGUGUUCUCUGUGACAUCAGAAAUGGGCUAGAAAGGAGGAUUCUUUCAUGGGCUCCAUGACAUUAGGUCAUUCCCAUAUCUCAGUUUUCCUGCCUAAAAGUGGGACUUAUAAACCCUCCCUUGCUCAGAUGUUAGGAUGGGAGGAUUAAGAUUGCAAACAUUAUUGCUGUGCCUUUCAGCUAAAAGAUUAUGAGCAAUUUAAGGAUCAGAAUGGGGUCUGUAUAAUCUCUGUUGCAUCAUGCCUAACAUAAGCCCACAGCUCUUCAUGGCUUCUCACACCACAGCCACAAAAAAAAGAAAGGGAAAAAAACCCACCCUCCAAAUGAAAACAGAAUUGAAGGGUGAAGAGACCCCAGCUGCCCAUGGGCAGACAGCUGCACCUCUAAUGCAGACCAUUGGACUUUCAUUAAAGAGAAAGACCCUUGCCCUGCUCUGUCUGCUCAUCCUUGUAUGUGUCUUCCUUCUGUCACUGCUCAGAUCCCAGCCUCCAUGUGUCCUUAAAUCAUGUUCCAGACCCCUUCCUCAUCUGGUAGCAGCCCCCUUCCUGCCUCCUUCCUUCCCCUGGAAUUCAUGGUUGACUUUGAGUAACAAAUUGAGGAAAGCUAAACUAUAGAUAAAACGGGACUACUGAAUAUCUGCAGGCUUGUCAGUAAUAGUGGCUCUUGGAGGUGAGGGAGGGUAUUGGCUGGAUGCCUACUGAGGACCCAGCACCAUUUUGGGCUCAGAAGCACUAUGCCAGUCAGGCCUUGGUCCUAGAGGCACCAUUUGCCCAAGUCCUU